AGUGAACGCUGGCGGUAGGCCUAACACAUGCAAGUCGAACGGCAGCACCGUAAGAGCUUGCUCUUACGGGUGGCGAGUGGCGGACGGGUGAGGAAUACAUCGGAAUCUACUUUUUCGUGGGGGUUAACGUAGGGAAAGUUACGCUCAUACCGCAUCCGACCUACGGGUGAAAGCAGGGGAUCUUCGGACCUUGCGCGAAUGAAUGAGCCGAUGUCGGAUUAGCUAGUUGGCGGGGUAAAGGCCCACCCAGGCGACGAUCCGUAGCUGGUCUGAGAGGAUGACCAGCCACACUGGAACUGGGACACGGUCCAGACGCCUACGGGAGGGAGCAGUGGGGAAUAUUGGACAAUGGGCGCAAGCCUGAUCCAGCCAGACCGCGUGGGUGAAGAAGGCCUUCGGGUUGUAAAGCCCUUUUGUUGGGAAAGAAAAGCAGCAGGUUAAUACCCCGCUGUCCUGACGGUACCCAAAGAAUAAGCACCGGCUAACUUCGUG
Molecule: ribosomal RNA, 492 nt
Filed under: uncultured bacterium
Lineage: Bacteria
Description: partial 16S ribosomal RNA
Rfam family: Bacterial small subunit ribosomal RNA
Source: RNAcentral